CGAAAUGCGAUAAUUAAUGUGAAUUGCAGAAUUCAGUGAAUCAUCGAAUCUUUGAACGCACCUUGCGCUCCUUGGUAUUCCUUGGAGCAUGCCUGUUUGAGUAUCAUGAAAUCUUCAAAGUAAAUCUUUUGUUAACUCAAUUGGUUUCUACUUUGGUAUUGGAGGUCUUUGCAGCUUCACACCUGCUCCUCUUUGUUCAUUAGCUGGAUCUCAGUGUUAUGCUUGGUUCCACUCGGCGUGAUAAGUUAUCUAUCGCUGAGGACACUGUAAAGGGUGGCCAAGGUAAAUGCAGAUGAACCGCUUCUAAUAGUCCAUUGACUUGGACAAUACUUUUAUGAUCUGAUCUCAAAUCAGGUAGGACUACCCGCUGAACUUAAGC
Molecule: unclassified non-coding RNA, 379 nt
Filed under: plant metagenome
Description: partial contains 5.8S ribosomal RNA, internal transcribed spacer 2, and large subunit ribosomal RNA
Rfam family: 5.8S ribosomal RNA (bases 1-106)
Source: RNAcentral